AACGAACGCUGGCGGCAUGCCUAACACAUGCAAGUCGAACGAGAUCUUCGGGUCUAGUGGCGCACGGGUGCGUAACGCGUGGGAAUCUGCCCUUUGGUUCGGAAUAACAGUUGGAAACGACUGCUAAUACCGGAUGAUGACGAAAGUCCAAAGAUUUAUCGCCAGAGGAUGAGCCCGCGUAGGAUUAGCUAGUUGGUGUGAUAAAGGCGCACCAAGGCGACGAUCCUUAGCUGGUCUGAGAGGAUGAUCAGCCACACUGGGACUGAGACACGGCCCAGACUCCUACGGGAGGCAGCAGUGGGGAAUAUUGGACAACGGGCGAAAGCCUGAUCCAGCAAUGCCGCGUGAGUGAUGAAGGCCUUAGGGUUGUAAAGCUCUUUUACCCGGGAUGAUAAUGACAGUACCGGGAGAAUAAGCUCCGGCUAACUCCGUGCCAGCCGCCGCGGUAA
This 449-nucleotide ribosomal RNA is filed under the name uncultured bacterium. RNAcentral's name for it is "partial 16S ribosomal RNA". It matches the Rfam family "Bacterial small subunit ribosomal RNA", at positions 29 to 523 of the family's 1533-position model. The record is from RNAcentral.